Musa acuminata AAA Group (dessert banana) is the source of this 1497-nucleotide RNA transcript. It is a transcript of the gene named receptor-like protein 44, with no coding region annotated. The record is from RefSeq and is a predicted model, not a curated record. The transcript has 2 exons. Lineage: Eukaryota; Viridiplantae; Streptophyta; Magnoliopsida; Zingiberales; Musaceae.
CGGAUCCGAAUCCAAAUAACAACUUGGUUAAUGAUAUAUUCCUAGCAUUCUUCCCACUUCGUCCUUUCCCUGCUGCUGAUACUGCUGCCGCUCCUGCUGCUCCAAUAUAAUGGCGAUGCCGCCGCUGUUGUGGGUUGUCGUCACCGUACUCCACCUCCUAGCUCUUGUAACACGGCCCGCGCUAUCGGACCCGAACGACGAGGCUUGCCUGUCCAACCUCCGGCGGUCGAUGACGGACCCGGGCAACAGGCUGUGCAACUGGACGGCGGCUACUUUCGUGGCAUCCUGCAACGGAUUCACCUCCUACCUCCACGGCGUCACCUGCAACAACGGGCGCGUUUACAAGCUCGCCCUUCCCGGCCUCACCCUGGGCGGCUCCCUCUCUCCCUACCUCGCCAACUGCACUAACCUCCAGUCUCUCGACCUCUCCUCCAACGCCCUGACCGGCCCCAUCCCCCCGCAGCUCUCCACCCUCCUCAACCUUGCCGUCCUCAACCUCUCCGCCAACCGCCUCUCCGGCACCAUCCCCCCGCAGCUCGCCCUCUGCGCCUACCUCAACUUCAUCGACCUCCACGCCAACCUCCUCUCCGGCACCAUUCCCGCCCAGCUCGGCCUCCUCGCCCGCCUCUCCGCCUUCGACGUCUCCUACAACCGCCUCGAGGGCCCCAUCCCCGCUCUGUUCGCCAACCGCUCCGACGACCUCGCAGUCCCACGCUUCAACGCCAGCUCCUUCGUCGGCAACCGGGGACUGUACGGGUACCCCCUGCCCCCGGAAAGAGGCGGCAGGGGGCUGUCGGUGCCCGCCAUCGUCGGGAUCGGGCUCGGCAGUGGGCUCCUCAGCCUGGUGCUCAGCUUCACCGCCGUCUGCUUCUGGCUCCGCGCCACCGAGCGCACCACCAAGACGCCCGGCGAGGAAGGGAAGGUCUCGCACCUCGACUACUGACCGGUUUCACCCCCUUCCUCCCCGUUCUGCCAUGAAUCCGCCGUAAAAAUCGCAUCUUUAUCUUCCCAUCCGCAUCUACGAAGAGUUAAAGGUUCCAUUGACAUCCAACGCCAAAACAAAGGAAGGAUUUAGACUAGGCACUCUUCUUGUCUUCGGAGGACAAGGUUUUGUUCCUUGGGGGUAGUGCUGGUUCCAAUAUCUUCCAAUGACCUGAAAAAGAGCAGAGUUGAGAAAAGAACACUGAUUGACUCAUAUUUUGAGUCUCAGUAAAUGAUGGUAGUCUGUUCCAUGCUCUGCUUGGCUAGUGUUGGUUCCAAUAUGUUGCAGUGAAGAGUUUUGGGCAGCACACUCAUCCACUGGUGAGUGUUUCAGAUUCUCUUAGAAGUGGGAAGCUUUAACUGUGUUUUGAUUUGAGCAGAGCAUCUGUCUUUGGGCUUUAAACAAAGUUAUUAGCUGUUUAAUUCUACGUGUUCUCUAGUUUUACUGUCUGAGUGGAGGAUACAUUUUUUAGGUGUACAUGAAAAAUUGACAUAAAUUUAUUGCGCCUUUUGUUC